UUUCGCAUACAUUUUUUGACAGAUUGACGAUUUGGCGAUGUCGACGAAGUAGGGGAAUUAUGCCUAUUUUAAUCAAUGACCUAUCUUCAGCCUAUCGCAUUUUCUAACCUUAAUAUUUUACAAAUAAACUCAUUUUAAAGAGCCACAAACCAGCCAAACUAUGAGCAAGAAGUGAGCAUGCAUCCUAGUGAAAGAUUUAAUCCGAAAAACACUAUAUUUUUACAAAAAACAGGAAAAAUGUAUUUGGCUCGUGUUUUUUUCCUUACCUGACACCGUCAUUUAAGCCGGCCUGAUAAAUCUUCUGACCGCUUAAGCAUAGUCCUUUGAAUCAGACCACUUUUGUUUUACUUUUUACCUCACUAUUUUACACUUUUUAAUUAUGUUCAUUGCUGCAAUUUAAACAUACGUUUAUUUCACAUCGAGCUUCUCAAUUUUUUUUACGCGAAAUGUUGUUUUAAUUGAAGAAAUACACUUUUUAAAAAAAAUGCCGAAGCACUAGCUCCCAACAUAUUUUCAACACUUUUGAACAAUCUUCUUAAUUGACACCAAUACAAGCGCAACUACAGUGUUGCCAAACUGAAACAUAUUAUUUCUCAUCUUGGUCCAUGCUUGCAUAAUCUUUUUCGUCCAUUUUAUUAACAUUUGCCUCAAAACUGGCAACCGAUGUUAAGAAAUGCUUUGAAAAAAUGUUUAGGCCCUUUGCAUUAUUGAUUGACAGUUGUGAUGUGUCAAAAUCAAAAUUUUCUUCAAGUGUAAACAGCAAAAUGAUUUCGGGUAAGCUAAAAAAGGGAUUUUUUGAUAAAGACUGAAUUGAACAAAUGUAUUUAUUUCAGAAACAGACGAAGAACCGAUGGAUUUGUCGAUUCCUGGCCGACCCAGCCAGAACCUGGACAUUCCAGCUCGCCGGCGAUGUUUAUUUGUGUCAGCGUCACACCCAGUUGACCUCAGCUAUCGCGAAACUAUCGGCACUACAAGCUUCGAUCGGAACAGCAGCUUCGGCGUUCCUCUCCCGGUUCGUCCCCUGGCGGCCAACCAGCAGCGUGCGGUCAGUCCCGGAACGUUCGGCAGCAACAGCUGCUUUGGUGCUCCUCCCCAGGGCGUCAGCGCGUUGAUAGCCUCGUUUCGUCCCCUGGCGGCCAGUCCCGGAUCGUACAGCAGCUUCGGUGCUCCCCCCCAAAGCGUCAGCGCUUUGACAGCAUCGGUUCGUCCCCUGGCGGCCAACCAGCGGCGUGCGGUCAGUCCCGGAACGGAACGUGAGCUGAUUGAGAAAGAUCCGAACGCCGACAACGUGACCGGUCCCGGAGGGCUCACCAGCAGAAGCAGCUUCGAUGCUCCUCUCCAGAACGAUGAGACUGGGUCGGCGUCUCAAACCACGGAAAAAGGUAGGGUAUUAUUUUUGGGAUGUUCAAUAGGAAAAUUGCGAGUGGUGAGAGCUUACUAUUGGUUUGGUAAUUGCGUUCUAAAAUUAAUUGUCUGUCCUUGAUGUAGGUAAUUUUGCUUUUAAAACAGUUUUUCACUUUUUUAACAUUACAUGUAACAUUACAUAAGCAAAUAUUACACCAAUAAGUAUUGAGUGGCUCUGUACGAUUUCGCAAAUCGUCUUAUCUUAGUAUUUUUCAAUUUGGAUUUGGAUUCCCUAUGUCAAAAGACAAUUUUUAGGGCUGCUCAUACAAAAUGGGUAUGUAAAUGUAUACAAUUCUGUAUCUUGAGAAGAAAUGUUCUGACCGAUUUGGUGUCUUCGGCAAAGUUGUAGGUUCUGAUUAGAACUUUUCGGGUAAAAGUAGGUACACGGAAAGAAAAUCGUCUUUUAUUUAACAUUUUAACCAUUCAAUUAGUUUCUUAGAUACAGCCUCACAAAGAAUUCAAAAACAGUUAGUUAAAUUUACAGGCUAAUUAGGUGACAGACACUUAAAAGAAUUUACUUCAUUGAUUCGAAUUCAUUGUGUACUCUGACAAGCAAAAACAUGUUCUGACUGGAUCCAAGAAUUAGUUAAAAGUGAAAAAUACAAAAUCAAAUAGGAGCAAAACAAAGUAAGUUUGUUUGAGUACUAUAGUUAUUUUUUUCUAUUUUAAUUCAAGAGCAUUGGGCACUGUUCUUUGUUUAUUUUUCAGAUGCCAUACGCCGAGUACCGGCCCAGCAGUGGAAACAUGGUUCGAUGCCGGGCAUGGCAUCGAUCUUGUCAUUGUAAAUACUAGCAACCACAUUUAUCAUCCAGUCAGUGCCAUUAGUCCACAUCAUCCGAUUACGGCCGGAAUGAGCGAGGGAUCUAAUCAAAGUUUCUGCUGUUCCAGAUUUCGGUCGAUGGAGGAGAAGGCGGACGGAAAAUUUCGAGAAGGCGGACGGAAAAUGUCGUGAACCCGGCGGGCUAUGCCGGAAAAUGGGAGGGCAAGUAACCGGUCAGCGAUCGCGGAAGCAAUCCUCCUUGCGGAGGAGAAUGAAACGUCAAGUAAUAAAAAGGUGGAGGAGGACUAAAUAAAAAAAAACUCCCGGCAGCGAUCCUGAUCCGCCAAAAAUUGUUAUCAAUGGAACUGAGUGCUUUUUGCUGGACGUGGACCAGCAAGUAGAGAAGGACAAUGAAAGUGCGUUGGUGGUGUUGAACUUCUAGCGGAAUGGCAAAAGCGCAAUUAUCAAGAACUCAUUCUUCUUCCUGGAGAUACUUUCGGUCGAGAAUAUUCUCCAGGUGAAGGCGAUGGAGGUGGACAAAUUACAGCACUUGAAC
Culex pipiens pallens (northern house mosquito) is the source of this 2720-nucleotide long non-coding RNA. RefSeq lists it as uncharacterized. The record is from RefSeq and is a predicted model, not a curated record. Lineage: Eukaryota; Metazoa; Arthropoda; Insecta; Diptera; Culicidae. The transcript has 2 exons.